AACAGUAGAUAGGAUAAAGGAGAGAGGAUAAGGGAAAAACUUAUCCCUUAGAACAGUGUGGGGGAAUUUGGUGACACACAACUUAGGGUCCAGUACAAACCCUGUCCCUUACCAGCCUCAGUUACCCUGUCUGGAAAAUGGAAACAAUGCUCACUCUGCUCUGUGUUCAGUUUGGAAAUGGAAAGAAAUGGCUGUGCUAGGUAGGACCAGUCGUGCAGAGACUCCUUAUUCUUCGUUCCGGACCACAGAGACUCGGAGCCAUGAAGUCUUCCACUGUGGUUUCAGGACUGCCAUAAAUGUGAAUCUUGGGGCGUCUUCAGAUCCCUUCAUUUUUCUGGCUACUGUAAGAAAACGCUGGACAGAAAGAAGCAACUCGGUCUGAAAAGAUCAGAGCUCUGGGAGGGGAUCAACAGCUUGACUGACAUAAAGGUUUCGAAGAGGUGUGAUACAUCGGCGCUGGAAGAUUCUGAUGAUUCUGCCUCCUUGUACAAAUUCAUUUUCCCACAAGCAGUAUUUGAGGGUGCUCUGUCCCCACCCUCUGUGUGAGCCUUGAGUGUCGGGUGGAGUCCUUGUUACCUUUGAGGGGAAGAAACAGUUUCCCUGUGAGAUUCUCCACUCUCUAUGUGAUUCUCCACUCCCAGUGUGAUUCUCUUCCUCCUGUUCCUUUCAGCUUUCAUAGUAUUUCUUUGGAGAAUUUAAAAAUAUAUGUAUUUUUGGAGUGCAUAACUGAUUUGUAGGAGUUCAUUUUAAUUCAUUAUAAUCAUAGCUACGAUACAAUUAAAGUUUAUUUAUAAUGUAUACAAUUACAGUAUAUGAUAGCUACAAUGAAGUCAUAGUUAUAAUUAACAAUUAUAUUUAUAUAAAAUUAAUAGUUAUAUACUAAAUAUUGUAUAAUUAAUCAUUGUGAAUUAAACUGUUGCUCUC
Molecule: long non-coding RNA, 924 nt
Filed under: Mus musculus (house mouse)
Lineage: Eukaryota; Metazoa; Chordata; Mammalia; Rodentia; Muridae
Description: predicted gene 43342
Source: RNAcentral